UACGUAGGGAGCAAGCGUUGUCCGGAUUUACUGGGUGUAAAGGGCGCGCAGGCGGGUCAAUAAGUCAGAGGUGAAAUCCUACAGCUCAACUGUAGAACUGCCUUUGAUACUGCUGAUCUUGAGUAUGGAAGAGAGAGACGGAAUUCCAGGUGUAGUGGUGAAAUACGUAGAUAUCUGGAAGAACACCAGUUGCGAAGGCGGUCUCUUGGUCCAAUACUGACGCUGAGGCGCGAAAGCGUGGGUAGCAAACAGGAUUAGAUACCCGAGUA
RNAcentral lists this ribosomal RNA (269 nucleotides) under uncultured prokaryote. RNAcentral describes it as "partial 16S ribosomal RNA". It matches the Rfam family "Bacterial small subunit ribosomal RNA", at positions 524 to 792 of the family's 1533-position model. The record is from RNAcentral.